AGCCCGAAGAAAUUCGGAUUAAUGCUCCAUGGUUUAUCGAUAUGGCAUCGUAUUGAUAAUAAAGAUUUAUCGGUAUAAGAUGGGCAUGCGUAUCAUUAGCUAGUUGGUGUGGUAACGGCAUACCAAGGCAACGAUGAUUAGGGGUCCUGAGAGGGAGAUCCCCCACACUGGUACUGAGACACGGACCAGACUCCUACGGGAGGCAGCAGUGAGGAAUAUUGGUCAAUGGAGGCAACUCUGAACCAGCCAUGCCGCGUGCAGGAUGACGGUCCUAUGGAUUGUAAACUGCUUUUGUACAGGAAGAAACCUCCCUACGAGUAGGGACUUGACGGUACUGUAAGAAUAAGGAUCGGCUAACUCCGUGCCAGCAGCCGCGGUAAUACGGAGGAUCCGAGCGUUAUCCGGAAUUAUUGGGUUUAAAGGGUUCGUAGGCGGCUUUGUAAGUCAGUGGUGAAAUUUCCUAGCUUAACUAGGACACUGCCAUUGAUACUGCAGAGCUUGAAUAGUAUGGAAGUAACUAGAAUAUGUAGUGUAGCGGUGAAAUGCUUAGAUAUUACAUGGAAUACCAAUUGCGAAGGCAGGUUACUACGUAUUUAUUGACGCUGAUGAACGAAAGCGUGGGGAGCGAACAGGAUUAGAUACCCUGGUAGUCCACGCCGUAAACGAUGGAUACUAGCUGUUCGGUUUUCGGACUGAGUGGCUAAGCGAAAGUGAUAAGUAUCCCACCUGGGGAGUACGUUCGCAAGAAUGAAACUCAAAGGAAUUGACGGGGGCCCGCACAAGCGGUGGAGCAUGUGGUUUAAUUCGAUGAUACGCGAGGAACCUUACCAGGGCUUAAAUGUAGAUUGACAGAUUUGGAAACAGAUUUUUCUUCGGACAAUUUACAAGGUGCUGCAUGGUUGUCGUCAGCUCGUGCCGUGAGGUGUCAGGUUAAGUCCUAUAACGAGCGCAACCCCUAUUGUUAGUUACCAGCGCGUAGUGGCGGGGACUCUAGCAAGACUGCCGGUGCAAACCGUGAGGAAGGUGGGGAUGACGUCAAAUCAUCACGGCCCUUACGUCCUGGGCUACACACGUGCUACAAUGGCAAGUACAGAAAGCAGCUACCUGGCAACAGGAUGCGAAUCUCCAAAGCUUGUCUCAGUUCGGAUUGGAGUCUGCAACUCGACUCUAUGAAGCUGGAAUCGCUAGUAAUCGGAUAUCAGCCAUGAUCCGGUGAAUACGUUCCCGGGCCUUGUACACA
RNAcentral lists this ribosomal RNA (1240 nucleotides) under Myroides odoratimimus. Its description in RNAcentral is "bacterial SSU rRNA". It matches the Rfam family "Bacterial small subunit ribosomal RNA", at positions 145 to 1389 of the family's 1533-position model. The record is from RNAcentral. Lineage: Bacteria; Pseudomonadati; Bacteroidota; Flavobacteriia; Flavobacteriales; Flavobacteriaceae.